Long non-coding RNA from Spea bombifrons (plains spadefoot toad), 319 nucleotides. RefSeq lists it as uncharacterized. The transcript has 2 exons. The record is from RefSeq and is a predicted model, not a curated record. NCBI's taxonomy places the organism in Eukaryota, Metazoa, Chordata, Amphibia, Anura, Pelobatidae.
GAGGUGCUUUGAACAUUCAUUAGAAAGCCAGCUGCUGCAGGGAAGAGCCAUCCUGGUGUUUCCCAGCUGUUGCGAACUCCAGAAUGGCAUCUCUGUGCUCAUUGAGCCGGGACAGGAACCCUUGGGAUCCUUGGUGGCAGCGGUGGGAUUUAGCUGAUCCCUUUUACCAACAACUCCAACCUUCUCCAGGAUCUCCUUGGUGGAUGUGUCUGUCAGCUGAGCUGUCCCUUUGUUUUCCUUACUUGGAAGAGUAACAUAUUAGCAACAAUGUAUCAGCUUCUACAAAAAGCAUUAAAAUAAACAAAUGUAUCAAAGUGCA